This 125-nucleotide ribosomal RNA is filed under the name uncultured bacterium. RNAcentral describes it as "partial 16S ribosomal RNA". It matches the Rfam family "Bacterial small subunit ribosomal RNA", at positions 381 to 523 of the family's 1533-position model. The record is from RNAcentral.
GCCUGACGCAGCGACGCCGCGUGGAGGAUGAAGGCCUUCGGGUUGUAAACUCCUUUUCUUAGGGAAGAUGAUGAUGGUACCUGAGGAAUAAGCCACGGCUAACUCUGUGCCAGCAGCCGCGGUAA